Molecule: long non-coding RNA, 383 nt
Organism: Protopterus annectens (West African lungfish)
Lineage: Eukaryota; Metazoa; Chordata; Ceratodontiformes; Protopteridae
Exons: 3
Source: RefSeq, a predicted model, not a curated record
UUUUCUUUUUCGACCAAUGAUAUUUCAGUAAAAAAUAUUCAGUCGGUCAAUAUGAUUCAUUCAACAUUAUAACCUCCUGACACAUUCGGCUAUCGAAAUGACUCAUUUCUUUAUCAUUGCCACAAAUCUUAAAAUAUACUACAACAAAACCAACAGAUCUUCACAUACUCUAAUACAAUGCAGACCUGCAAAGCAUAAUGCCUUUCCUGCAGUUUUGCUGCAGACUACUUGUACUGAAAACAUUCAGAACAAACCAUAGUCAAUUUACUUACUUCUAUCUCCCGGAAUUCUGUCUCAUUCUUGGUUUGUACAUCUUUAAGAUCUCUGACUUUUAGUUCCAGGGAUGACAGUGAUACUUUCAGUUUGUCCUUAUACACACUGAC